GGGGGCGAUUUGGCUUCGACCGGAUACUGGAAGUGUCAGUGGCGUGUCGUGGUUGGUCAGUUGGCCACGUUAAAAGCUGACCGCACUAUUUAUUUGCCGAGGAAAACCUCGCACUGGCCGCCUAACUACGGCGUCCCCGACUGCGGAUCUUCGCCGGAGAGAUCCAAAAGUCGGUUGCAAUUCCGGAUC
Molecule: transfer-messenger RNA, 189 nt
Filed under: Pirellulaceae bacterium
Lineage: Bacteria; Pseudomonadati; Planctomycetota; Planctomycetia; Pirellulales; Pirellulaceae
Description: partial transfer-messenger RNA
Rfam family: transfer-messenger RNA
About the family: Bacterial tmRNA, also known as 10Sa RNA or SsrA, is named for its dual tRNA and mRNA-like properties. Its role is to liberate the mRNA from a stalled ribosome. To accomplish this part of the tmRNA is used as a reading frame that ends in a translation stop signal.
Source: RNAcentral